This 253-nucleotide ribosomal RNA is filed under the name uncultured bacterium. RNAcentral's name for it is "partial 16S ribosomal RNA". It matches the Rfam family "Bacterial small subunit ribosomal RNA", at positions 524 to 776 of the family's 1533-position model. The record is from RNAcentral.
UACGGAGGGGGCUAGCGUUGUUCGGAAUUACUGGGCAUAAAGGGUGCGUAGGCGGCUUGUUAAGUCAGGGGUGAAAGUUUUCGGCCCAACCGGAAAAUUGCCUUUGAUACUGGCGAGCUGGAGUGCGUGAGGGGUGACCGGAACGAGUGGUGUAGCGGUGAAAUGCGUAGAUAUCACUCGGAAGGCCAACGGCGAAGGCAGGUCACUGGUGCGCAACUGACGCUGAGGCACGAAAGCGUGGGGAGCAAACAGG